CACAUAUAAAGUAUGCCUGGGAAAAUUCGAAAGAAAAGUACCCAGGCGUAUUCUUAUACCCAUGUCUUUUGCGUACUACUUGUUUCCUUGGUGGGCUUGCCUGCCAUUAGGACACCCCUACAAACCUUUUGUAAUUGCAGUCAGCGUCAGAAAAUAACGUAAUCGUUA
Molecule: unclassified non-coding RNA, 168 nt
Filed under: uncultured Alternaria
Lineage: Eukaryota; Fungi; Ascomycota; Dothideomycetes; Pleosporales; Pleosporaceae
Also listed under: 1 other name
Description: sequence contains ITS1
Source: RNAcentral